CGCUGUGGCUGCCAGGAGGGAUCUCACUGCAGUCCUUGGGCCAACCUGGGGCAGGAAACAGAUGGCUGUUACAUCUUACCCGACACAAGGAAACCCUGAGAGCACACGGUUGGCCCAGACCAAGGAAUGGCAGUGAGAAAACACGACCUGGGAAGAAAGUGACCAUGGUUCCUGGCACACAGCUGCAAAGAAAAUAACACCUGUGCCAGCAAGAGUGCUUGGAAUGCACUCUGCUCAGCUCCUUGGAUGAAAUUCCUGCUGGGAGCUCUGAAGACUGCUGCUUUUGAACAAACACUUGGAUGCCAGUCCUCAUCUAGCGGGGAGAGCAAACACUGGACGAACCAUGGGCGGAUGGGGUGGGUUGGAGGGGGUCUAAGAGCACUCGGAAGGCAACAGAGGGGACUGGAGGGUAUAUAGAGGGGGUACGGUUUGGGUGUAAGGAAUGGCAGGGGCUGGGGUGUGCACAGAGGGCGGCGGAGGAGAUCUGAGCAUGCGUGGAUGGGAACUGCGGUGUUCCAAAGCAUGGGCGGGGGCAGAGAGGGGCUGCAGGCACCCCGAGGGGAAUGGGGGGCAACUGAGUGCCCACAGGGAGGAGCUGAGGGACCCUGAGCACCCACAGAGCGUAAUGGGCGACCACUGGGCGUGUGGGGAGCAGAGUGUGCUGAGGAGGAAGGAGAGGAGCUUCUUGUAUUUUCAUAUUACAUCUUGUCUUAACUAUCUCGGCAUAAUCUCGCUCUGUCUCGUGUGUGCGCAGGAAGGUCUCAGUGCCAGGUGAGACCUGCCUGUGUGCGCAGGAGCCGUUCCUGAUGAUUCUCCUUCGUGUGCCUGGAAGGGGUUUCCAAGGUGAGUUGCUCUAUCCUCUCCUAGGGACCGAGGGGAGGGACCAGCUGUCGUUCCCCUCCUCCUUUUCCCCUUCGGUUUGUUUUCCUCCAGUUUUUGGACGCUUCUUCCAGUUGCCACGGUCCAUCAAAGCUGAUGGGGAGUGGCCACGCAGUGACACCUGCCAGCCCCCCGGCAGCUGUGGGUGCAUCCCUCAGCGCCCAGCAAUUUGUUCGCGUCCAGCUUGCUCAAGCGUGCCCUGACCCGAUCCUUUCCACCAAGGGCGAAUCUCCCUUGCUCAAGUCUUUCCCAACGAGCCCGCGUUUUCCCGGCUCUUUGUACUGCAGGAAUCCUCUUUGCUGUGGAUUUUGUAUUGAACUGAGCUCCUUGUGAAGCAGCACUUCCCCAGAGUGCCCAUCCAGGAGGGCGCUCGGGGCGGCUCCAUGGUGGGGACAGGUUAUCACAAAGACAAGAAGCCCACGCACAGAUCAAAUGAACUUAGGAUUCCAGCUCCUGCACUUUGAGGAUAUCUACGUGCCUUUGCACAAGUGCUUCUCAGUGCAGAGAGAUUUCAGUGCGGAGGAUGAGAUGCAGCUCAGUGACUUAUUUGCUCCAUUUGGGACCAGCCCCAGUGUAUUAAGCUCCCUGGCAGUAGCAGUGAGGAUGUGGUGGUGCAGCCCUGCCCUGGGCCGCUCUGUGCUCUGUCACCGUUGUGCUGCUGCCUUUGUACCAGAGCAGGGAGUUGGGACGACAGGCGCUCCCUGGCUGCAUUGGACCCUCUGGCACACGGCUCCCCCGGGGCCACGCACGCAGUGGCUCCUGCCUCUGGGGGGUUGUCAUCUCCUCCUAUCCCACAACUUCCCUCUCCCAGAAACAGGUAAGACAUAUGAUUAUAAUUGGUAACAAACGCAAAGGCAAAUUCUCCCCCAUUCCAUACAGGCGAAGGGUUAGGGGAAGGACCCACGAGUCCCAGUUACAUCCCAUGGACAAUGCAAGAUGAGCAACUGCAAAUGUUUUGGUCCUCGGGGAAAGAUCCUGGCGGAUUCCUGAGGCGCUGGGACUUCAGGGGGAUUUGGGAACCCGAUGCAGGUCUGUGAGGGACCCCAGCGGCGGGAACGGUGAGUGCAGCAGGUCGGGAGUGCUCACAGCAGCAGCAGCAGCAGCACGAGCCCCAC
Molecule: long non-coding RNA, 1994 nt
Organism: Numida meleagris (helmeted guineafowl)
Lineage: Eukaryota; Metazoa; Chordata; Aves; Galliformes; Numididae
Exons: 3
Source: RefSeq, a predicted model, not a curated record